This 433-nucleotide ribosomal RNA is filed under the name uncultured bacterium. Its description in RNAcentral is "partial 16S ribosomal RNA". It matches the Rfam family "Bacterial small subunit ribosomal RNA", at positions 29 to 507 of the family's 1533-position model. The record is from RNAcentral.
AACGAACGCUGGCGGCAUGCCUAACACAUGCAAGUCGAACGAGACCUUCGGGUCUAUUGGCGCACGGGUGCGUAACGCGUGGGAACCUGCCCUUAGGUUCGGAAUAACUCCCCGAAAGGGGUGCUAAUACCGGAUAAUGUCUUCGGACCAAAGAUUUAUCGCCUUUGGAUGGGCCCGCGUUGGAUUAGCUAGUUGGUAGGGUAAAAGCCUACCAAGGCGACGAUCCAUAGCUGGUCUGAGAGGAUGAUCAGCCACACUGGGACUGAGACACGGCCCAGACUCCUACGGGAGGCAGCAGUGGCGAAUAUUGGACAAUGGGCGAAAGCCUGAUCCAGCAAGGCCGCGUGAGUGAUGAAGGCCUUAGGGUUGUAAAGCUCUUUUAACCGGGAUGAUAAUGACAGUACCGGGAGAAUAGGCGCCGGCUAACUCCGUG